AACGAACGCUGGCGGCAUGCCUAACACAUGCAAGUCGAACGAGACCUCCGGGUCUAGUGGCGCACGGGUGCGUAACGCGUGGGAACCUGCCCUUAGGUUCGGAAUAACUCCCCGAAAGGGGUGCUAAUACCGGAUAAUGUCUUCGGACCAAAGAUUUAUCGCCUUUGGCUGGGCCCGCGUUGGAUUAGCUAGUUGGUAGGGUAAAAGCCUACCAAGGCGACGAUCCAUAGCUGGUCGGAGAGGAUGAUCAGCCACACUGGGACUGAGACACGGCCCAGACUCCUACGGGAGGCAGCAGUGGGGAAUAUUGGACAAUGGGCGAAAGCCUGAUCCAGCCAUGCCGCGUGAGUGAUGAAGGCCUUAGGGUUGUAAAGCUCUUUUACCCGGGAUGAUAAUGACAGUACCGGGAGAAUAAGCUCCGGCUAACUCCGUG
RNAcentral lists this ribosomal RNA (433 nucleotides) under uncultured bacterium. Its description in RNAcentral is "partial 16S ribosomal RNA". It matches the Rfam family "Bacterial small subunit ribosomal RNA", at positions 29 to 507 of the family's 1533-position model. The record is from RNAcentral.